RNAcentral lists this transfer RNA (76 nucleotides) under Nippostrongylus brasiliensis. It matches the Rfam family "tRNA". Rfam says of the family: Transfer RNA (tRNA) molecules are approximately 80 nucleotides in length. Their secondary structure includes four short double-helical elements and three loops (D, anti-codon, and T loops). Lineage: Eukaryota; Metazoa; Nematoda; Chromadorea; Rhabditida; Heligmosomidae. The record is from Rfam by way of RNAcentral.
GGCUCGGUGGUGUAGCGGUGUAACACAGUAUGCCUCGAACUGGCACGAGACGCGGGUUCGAAUCACGCCUGAGUCC